AGCGUACACGGUGGAUGCCCUGGCAGUCAGAGGCGAUGAAGGACGUGCUAAUCUGCGAAAAGCGCCGGCGAGGUGAUAUGAACCUUUGACCCGGCGAUGUCCGAAUGGGGAAACCCAGUGCAAUCCGUUGCACUAUCGUUAACUGAAUACAUAGGUUAACGAGGCGAACCGGGGGAACUGAAACAUCUAAGUACCCCGAGGAAAAGAAAUCAACCGAGAUUCCCCCAGUAGCGGCGAGCGAACGGGGAGCAGCCCGGAGUCUGAAUCAGCUUGUGUGUUAGUGGAACGGUCUGGAAAGUCCGACGGUACAGGGUGAUAGUCCCGUACACGAAAAUGCACAUGCUGUGAACUCGAAGAGUAGGGCGGGACACGUGGUAUCCUGUCUGAAUAUGGGGGGACCAUCCUCCAAGGCUAAAUACUCCUGACUGACCGAUAGUGAACCAGUACCGUGAGGGAAAGGCGAAAAGAACCCCGGCGAGGGGAGUGAAAAAGAACCUGAAACCGUGUACGUACAAGCAGUGGGAGCCUCUUUAUGGGGUGACUGCGUACCUUUUGUAUAAUGGGUCAGCGACUUAUAUUCUGUAGCAAGGUUAACCGUAUAGGGGAGCCGAAGGGAAACCGAGUCUUAACUGGGCGUUAAGUUGCAGGGUAUAGACCCGAAACCCGGUGAUCUAGCCAUGGGCAGGUUGAAGGUUGGGUAACACUAACUGGAGGACCGAACCGACUAAUGUUGAAAAAUUAGCGGAUGACCUGUGGCUGGGGGUGAAAGGCCAAUCAAACCGGGAGAUAGCUGGUUCUCCCCGAAAGCUAUUUAGGUAGCGCCUCGUGAACUCAUCUUCGGGGGUAGAGCACUGUUUCGGCUAGGGGGCCAUCCCGGCUUACCAACCCGAUGCAAACUACGAAUACCGAAGAAUGUUAUCACGGGAGACACACGGCGGGUGCUAACGUCCGUCGUGAAGAGGGAAACAACCCAGACCGCCAGCUAAGGUCCCAAAGUCAUGGUUAAGUGGGAAACGAUGUGGGAAGGCACAGACAGCCAGGAUGUUGGCUUAGAAGCAGCCAUCAUUUAAAGAAAGCGUAAUAGCUCACUGGUCGAGUCGGCCUGCGCGGAAGAUGUAACGGGGCUAAACCAUGCACCGAAGCUGCGGCAGCGACACUAUGUGUUGUUGGGUAGGGGAGCGUUCUGUAAGCCGUUGAAGGUGUGCUGUGAGGCAUGCUGGAGGUAUCAGAAGUGCGAAUGCUGACAUAAGUAACGAUAAAGCGGGUGAAAAGCCCGCUCGCCGGAAGACCAAGGGUUCCUGUCCAACGUUAAUCGGGGCAGGGUGAGUCGACCCCUAAGGCGAGGCCGAAAGGCGUAGUCGAUGGGAAACAGGUUAAUAUUCCUGUACUUGGUGUUACUGCGAAGGGGGGACGGAGAAGGCUAUGUCAGCCGGGCGACGGUUGUCCCGGUUUAAGCAUGUAGGCGGAGGUUCCAGGUAAAUCCGGUACCUUAUUAACGCUGAGGUGUGAUGACGAGGCACUACGGUGCUGAAGUGAUAAAUGCCCUGCUUCCAGGAAAAGCCUCUAAGCAUCAGGUAACACGAAAUCGUACCCCAAACCGACACAGGUGGUCAGGUAGAGAAUACCAAGGCGCUUGAGAGAACUCGGGUGAAGGAACUAGGCAAAAUGGUGCCGUAACUUCGGGAGAAGGCACGCUGAUAUGUAGGUGAAGCCCCUGCGGGCGGAGCUGAAAUCAGUCGAAGAUACCAGCUGGCUGCAACUGUUUAUUAAAAACACAGCACUGUGCAAACACGAAAGUGGACGUAUACGGUGUGACGCCUGCCCGGUGCCGGAAGGUUAAUUGAUGGGGUUAGCGGCAACGCGAAGCUCUUGAUCGAAGCCCCGGUAAACGGCGGCCGUAACUAUAACGGUCCUAAGGUAGCGAAAUUCCUUGUCGGGUAAGUUCCGACCUGCACGAAUGGCGUAAUGAUGGCCAGGCUGUCUCCACCCGAGACUCAGUGAAAUUGAACUCGCUGUGAAGAUGCAGUGUACCCGCGGCAAGACGGAAAGACCCCGUGAACCUUUACUAUAGCUUGACACUGAACACUGGUCCUUGAUGUGUAGGAUAGGUGGGAGGCUUUGAAGCGUGGACGCCAGUCUGCGUGGAGCCAACCUUGAAAUACCACCCUUUAAUGGCUGGUGUUCUAACGUAGACCCGUAAUCCGGGUUGCGGACAGUGUCUGGUGGGUAGUUUGACUGGGGCGGUCUCCUCCCAAAGAGUAACGGAGGAGCACGAAGGUUGGCUAAUCCUGGUCGGACAUCAGGAGGUUAGUGCAAUGGCAUAAGCCAGCUUGACUGCGAGCGUGACGGCGCGAGCAGGUGCGAAAGCAGGUCAUAGUGAUCCGGUGGUUCUGAAUGGAAGGGCCAUCGCUCAACGGAUAAAAGGUACUCCGGGGAUAACAGGCUGAUACCGCCCAAGAGUUCAUAUCGACGGCGGUGUUUGGCACCUCGAUGUCGGCUCAUCACAUCCUGGGGCUGAAGUAGGUCCCAAGGGUAUGGCUGUUCGCCAUUUAAAGUGGUACGCGAGCUGGGUUUAGAACGUCGUGAGACAGUUCGGUCCCUAUCUGCCGUGGGCGCUGGAGAAUUGAGGGGGGCUGCUCCUAGUACGAGAGGACCGGAGUGGACGCAUCACUGGUGUUCGGGUUGUCAUGCCAAUGGCACUGCCCGGUAGCUAAAUGCGGAAGAGAUAAGUGCUGAAAGCAUCUAAGCACGAAACUUGCCCCGAGAUGAGUUCU
Molecule: ribosomal RNA, 2774 nt
Filed under: Enterobacter hormaechei subsp. steigerwaltii
Lineage: Bacteria; Pseudomonadati; Pseudomonadota; Gammaproteobacteria; Enterobacterales; Enterobacteriaceae
Description: bacterial LSU rRNA
Rfam family: Bacterial large subunit ribosomal RNA
Source: RNAcentral